Patella vulgata (common limpet) is the source of this 1067-nucleotide long non-coding RNA. RefSeq lists it as uncharacterized. The record is from RefSeq and is a predicted model, not a curated record. The transcript has 2 exons. Lineage: Eukaryota; Metazoa; Mollusca; Gastropoda; Patellidae.
CAGGCACAUACAGAAUCGUUUCACAGUUUCAAUUAAUGUAUACCAGUAAAAGACAAAAGUUACAGGUAAUUUCGGAUAAUACAGACCUCCACCCACUGAUCCCCUGCAAGUGUCUGAAAAUUAUGACCCAUAAUGGUCAAGUUUCAGGCUACCGUAUCAGUAGAAUGUUGACAACAAAUUCCACCAAAAUUUAAAAAAAAAUUAACUAUUCUUAACAAUGGACAUUUUAGGUCUAAGACGGAGUUCUGUGAUGUUUCUUUACCAACGUUGCCAAUUUUUGCUGAAGUGUUCUUUGAAUUCAGAUCAAAUAAAAGCUGCAGAAGCAGCUUCUCUGAAAGAACAUUCACAUGAAAAAAUGUGAAAUUGCUGCUUAUAACGGAUACUUAUUGAGUGCAAUUAAUGAUAUAAGAUUUGAAAUUAAAGAUCUACAGUUGUCUUCCUCCACAGAAGAACUUAUAUGUGUGGAAAAAUACAUUAUUUAUCAACACAUCUUAUCUUUAUAGAUUAACUAGACAAUAUAUUAAGUCAAAAAAAUUAUUUAAAUGUGCUGGAAUAUAACAUAAUUCUACUUCAGAUUUGAAUGAUUUGAUACUGUGCUAUGUCCGACCUGAAAAAACCUGUGUCAUCAGAGGAAUUAAUAGAUACAAUAAAAGAUAUACAAAGAUGUGAAUUAGAAUUUGAUGAGAGUGACGUUGGUGAAGCGAGUAGUGAUAGUCCCUGGCAUGGAUGGAAUAAGCCCGUAAACUUUUUCCCGAUGCCAUCGGACCUUGCCACGCCAGUUUUAAAAUAUAUGGGUAAAAAAUUGAAACAGAAACUUUGUCAGGUGCAGCAUACAAAAUCUUUUCUUUUUUUAUCUUUGAGAUAUCUCGAUCUUUCCAAAACAUGAUCUUUUUGGUGGCAAACAGCACAUGUCUUAAAAGUAACAUGAAAGUACAUUAUUUAUUCAUAUGUGGAUCUUUCAGUGUAAAAUUAAUAAUUAUCAGAUUCAUAUAUCACCAUGUACAUGUACAAUAGUAUAGGUUGUUAUUAAUUAAGUAAACUGUCCUAUAGAUCAACGGUCAUUCCCA